UACGAAGGGUGCUAGCGUUGUUCGGAAUCACUGGGCGUAAAGGGUGCGUAGGCGGCUUUGCAAGCCAGAGGUGAAAGCCUGGAGCUUAACUCCAGAACUGCCUUUGGAACUGCAUGGCUAGAGUGUCGGAGGGGAUAGCGGAAUUUCUAAUGUAGCGGUGAAAUGCGUAGAUAUUAGAAGGAACACCGGUGGCGAAGGCGGCUAUCUGGACGACAACUGACGCUGAGGCACGAAAGCGUGGGGAUCAAACAGG
Molecule: ribosomal RNA, 253 nt
Filed under: uncultured bacterium
Lineage: Bacteria
Description: partial 16S ribosomal RNA
Rfam family: Bacterial small subunit ribosomal RNA
Source: RNAcentral